GAACGCUGGCGGCAUGCCUUACACAUGCAAGUCGAACGGCAGCACGGGAGCUUGCUCCUGGUGGCGAGUGGCGAACGGGUGAGUAACGCGUGAGCAACUUACCUUGGACAGCGGGAUAACACAGGGAAACUUGUGCUAAUACCGCAUGAAGUGCGGGAGUGACAUCACUCCUGUACCAAAGGAGUAAUCCGGUCUGAGAUGGGCUCGCGUCCGAUUAGGUAGUUGGUGAGGUAACGGCCCACCAAGCCCGCGAUCGGUAGCCGGACUGAGAGGUUGGCCGGCCACAUUGGGACUGAGAUACGGCCCAGACUCCUACGGGAGGCAGCAGUCGAGAAUAGUCUACAAUGGCCGGAAGGCUGAUAGUGCGACGCCGCGUGAACGAGGGAGCCCUUCGGGGUGUAAAGUUCUUUUCUAUACGAGCAGUGCUAUAUAUAUGGAUAGUAUAUAUAGAGGGAUAGUAGUAUAGGAAUAAGCAACGGCUAACUCCGUG
This 490-nucleotide ribosomal RNA is filed under the name uncultured bacterium. RNAcentral describes it as "bacterial SSU rRNA". It matches the Rfam family "Bacterial small subunit ribosomal RNA", at positions 31 to 507 of the family's 1533-position model. The record is from RNAcentral.